Molecule: long non-coding RNA, 3436 nt
Filed under: Gallus gallus (chicken)
Lineage: Eukaryota; Metazoa; Chordata; Aves; Galliformes; Phasianidae
Source: RNAcentral
AUUUCUUAAGUAGGUUUUGUGGAUGACAAUAAUUUGGGAUCUUCUCAUGUAAGGAUCUGGCAAAGGAAGAAAAAAUAUCAUGAGGAAUACUAAGCACCCCUCUUCCUAGUGAGUUACACCAGUGCUCAUGUUUUGUUUUUCAAAUCAGCAAUUAGUGGAGUGACACCUCCUGGCUGAACUGAACUAAAGGUAGCAGUGACAUAAAAAGCCUUCUGCCCUAACUCUGUUUGAAUGGUUUUCAGCUUAGGAGAGGCCAAAAGGUGUUACCACCUGAUGGCUGUUCGAUGGCGUGUGUGAAAUGGCUCCUAAGGGUCCCAGUUUAAUUUCCUAACCUCCCUCUGCAGCACAUUUCUCACAACAUCGUUACACUCCAGGAAGGUCUAAGUGGAUAAUUUGUAAUGUAUAAUGUGCUCGUGUUCUGGCUUUUCCCACUCAGAAGUUUUAACAAAUGAAGUAAUUUUCAUUUCUCCCCUUGUUAUUUACUGAUAACUUCUGCAAGUUAAGUGUUCUUGAGCAGUUUAUUCUGUAUGUGCAGUAUCUGGAGAGUUUCUUGUAUGCCAGCAGGGCUAAGCUCUCCAGCCUCAGCGUGAGGCGGCAGGUGGGGAAGGUGGCAGACACAUUGUGAGGCAGGAGUAGGGUAUAGCCGUUGUACCUCAACAGUCUGCUUAAUGUGGUAGGAAGCAUAGAUUAAAUCAUUUCUUCAUGAAAAGGCACCUUAAUAGUUCAUUUCCAGGACUGCAGGGAUAUUUAGGUUAUUUUUGAAGUGGAAGGAAGUCUUCAAACACAGUAACUGUUGGCCAGAUGUCCCCAAACUGAGCUGACUGUGAAGGACAGACUGGCCCCACACAUCCUCCCAGUGCUGACAGGACCAGCUGCACUCCAUCCUUAGCAAUGGCCACAGCAGGACAGCGUGCAAGGCUGAGCCCACCCAGCUUCCCUGGGGCACAGGUUUGGCUAUCUCCUUACUACCUGGUAGCUCAUUUUCACUUUAAAAUUUGCUUGCACUGAGGCCUCCUACCCCUGGCUCAAAACUUGCUUGGCACUGGCUGGUAAUACCUGUGGAAGGGAUUCUGAGAGUCAGGCAAAACAUAGCACUGACUUCUUUCUGUCCUCAGGUAGCUGGGCUGAGAGUGUUCCUGACUGGUGAUCCACUGGGGUGGGGGCUGCAGAUAUGCAUUUGCUUCUGCUCCAUCUGCUGCCGAUCCAGUCAGGGCACGAACACUUAGGAAAGAAGCAGAAUCAUUUAGAGUUUAGUAGGAGAUGGUGGCAAAUACCAACUUCUCAAUGCUAGGAAAAGACUGUCUCUGGUCAGGCCAUGGUGAACAUUAGUGGAUGUUUAGGCAUCGAAGUAAUAUGACUCCACAGAAGUAAACUGGCAUAUCAGCCCCAGUGUGUUUUGAUCUCAAUGUCUCCUUCUUGCAUGUGUGUGCUCACCAGUACACUAAAAUAGUUCGUCCUACAGCCUGGAAAGCUAGAGGGUAACCUUCCUGUCAUAGUCUUACCUGUGCUCUUCUACCCCCUAAUCUGUCCUUCCUGUGACAUCAGGGUACCUCGGGUACCUGGCCAGCAGCACAAGGUGGCUCUGGGCUGCUUUCUACAGAAUCGCCUCUCACUGACAGCAGUAAUUUGGGUGAUAGCUGAUUACAACCAAAAAGGCAUGCCAGCCAUUAGCAGUAGAUGCUAAUGUGCUACUCUGCUGGGAAGGAGGAGCAAGGUUUCCUCUAGGAGGAACACUGUCCCAGCACGUGAAGGGGUUUGUGAGAUGUCCACAGUCAGCAUGGCACGCUGACUUCAGGACACGUGCACAUCUCAGAACGUCUGCUUUUCUUGUCCCACUGGGCUGAGCAGGCAGGUUCUGUCCAUACCUGUAAAUACAGUUCUCCCUUCCUCAGAACUCAGUAGCUGUAUUUCUGCUAAUCAGUGCAUGGGACUGGGGUGAGAAGCUGCUGUGUCCAAAAACUUACCAAGUGGCUUAUUUCAUGUAUGAAAAAUAUGGUAUAGCAUAUCAUGGGCGCUAACAGGAUGCAGACGAUGAACGCUUUCAUGAAGAUACUUAUAUUUUGUCUGACCAGCGAAUCUUUGCCAUUUGCAGAUGGAAUUUUCUCUUGGGAAGUCUGCUGCUCUGAGCGCACAUGUGGGGUAGAUGAGCCAUUGGAAAAAGCUUUCUGCUUGGGUGGUGUUGCUGUUACGGUGUGAUUUGAAAUCACUGCCAGGAACACUGGAAAUGGCGAGUUGUAAAGUUAGAGAUGUGUUGUUGUUUGAACUGAAGAACUCGAAGCAGUUUCUAGAAUAACUUGCAUGCUGAAGCAGUGGACAAGAAGCGAUGGAGCACCCGGCAGUUUGCAGUACAGUACCGGAGACACAGAGCUUUCUUGCCGGUGUGCCAUUUCCCAAUGUGCAGAAUUUUCCUUCUGUAUUAAUAUUGGAAACUAUAUUUGCCAAAAUCUCCUGGCUCUCCCAAAAGAAGGGAAAACAGCAGCAUGGAGUUGUUCCAUAACGGGAACCUUUCAGUAGCGUUAACUCUGCACCAUUACUCUCUCCUUAGUUUUGAUUUUUUUUUUUUUUGUUUUUAGUGAGAAGGUACAAAUAAUUUCUUAAAUAACCACUAACAUAUCAACCAUAUGAAAGUGAAGACUGCUAUUCUUCCAUAUUCUUAAGCAGACAUUUGCUACACUAAACUUUUUACCUUUGCUUCUGAAAAUAAAUCUUCUAUGGAAGUGCCUUCUCGUGGACGUGCGUAAGACACAGGUGUGGUUGGGUGUCCCGGCUGUGCUGGGGAUGACCUGCAGGCUCUCCACAGUGCAUUCCUCCGCUACCCACUCUGUCAGAUCUCCGUGCAUCUUCUCCAGGUGCAGCAGAUUUACUUGCACAGAGCUUUGAUGACUAAAGCAUUCCAGAAAUGUGACUUUAUGGUUUCUGCUUAAUGUCCCUCUGGUUUCAGCUAUCCCAGGGGCUGGAAAAGGAUGAGAGCCAAAUGUUAGUAAAGGUUUCUCUUAGAUUAGGUGAAGUUCCUCCUGUGAGAGGUUCAAGCCAGCAUUUAGCUUCUUAUUUCCUUUGUUAUUCUGUGUGUAUGUUGGACCACCCAAUGCUCAAGCAUCAUAAUCUCUACACUCCCAAGGACAACAGUGGCACCAGCUAACCUCACAGCAGCCUAACCUGCUGUGGGCAGCUCCCUGAACUGUGGCCAGAGGCCAACCUCCUGUUCGGGGUCUGUGUUGCCUUGGGGUCUCAUGCUGGGUGGGAGCUGAGGCCCUCGGCCCCGGCACUCAGAUGCCAGGAGCUGGCUGCAGAUACCCCGCUGUAAUGAGGCAGGGGCAGCUCUAUCCAGUCCAGCUGUGCAGUAAGUCCUGCAGUAACCUUGCUUGCUUUGCUGCAAGAGUUGGCUGAAAAUGUCAGAUGUUGCUUGUAAUGAUUGCAGGCAAGUGACACCAACCCA